AUUGAACGCUGGCGGCAGGCCUAACACAUGCAAGUCGAACGGUAACAGGAAGAAGCUUGCUUCUUUGCUGACGAGUGGCGGACGGAUGAGUAAUGUCUGGGAAACUGCCUGAUGGAGGGGGAUAACUACUGGAAACGGUCGCUAAUACCGCAUAACGUCGCAAGACCAAAAAGGGGGACCUUCGGGCCUCUUGCCAUCGGAUGUGCCCAGAUGGGAUUAGCUAGUAGGUGGGGUAACGGCUCACCUAGGCGACGAUCCCUAGCUGGUCUGAGAGGAUGACCAGCCACACUGGAACUGAGACACGGUCCAGACUCCUACGGGAGGCAGCAGUGGGGAAUAUUGCACAAUGGGCGCAAGCCUGAUGCAGCCAUGCCGCGUGUAUGAAGAAGGCCUUCGGGUUGUAAAGUACUUUCAGCGGGGAGGAAGGGAGUAAAGUUAAUACCUUGGCUCAUUGACGUUACCCGCAGAAGAAGCACCGGCUAACUCCGUG
Molecule: ribosomal RNA, 490 nt
Filed under: uncultured bacterium
Lineage: Bacteria
Description: partial 16S ribosomal RNA
Rfam family: Bacterial small subunit ribosomal RNA
Source: RNAcentral